Molecule: ribosomal RNA, 176 nt
Filed under: uncultured bacterium
Lineage: Bacteria
Description: partial 16S ribosomal RNA
Rfam family: Bacterial small subunit ribosomal RNA
Source: RNAcentral
ACUCCUACGGGAGGCAGCAGUGGGGAAUUUUCCGCAAUGGGCGAAAGCCUGACGGAGCAAUACCGCGUGAGGGAUGAAAGCCUGUGGGUUGUAAACCUCUUUUCUCAAGGAAGAAGUUCUGACGGUACUUGAGGAGUAAGCAUCGGCUAACUCUGUGCCAGCAGCCGCGGUAAUAC